UAUACCCCCGGCAAAGCCGGCCUGCAGACAAGAAGCACUUUCUCAACUGCACUGUCAAUCUAAAAACAUCUUUCCCCAAAUGAAGCCAAUCUGCCUUCACUCACGGCACUGAAAGCUGGAGAGCCGGACCAGACGGCACAAAAAGAGAAACAAGCAAACACGCAGGAACACAAAGCCGGCAAAAAUCAUGGGACACUUGCCUUUGAACUGGGCUUAAAAUAAAUUGAAGUGUAGCAUGG
Molecule: long non-coding RNA, 239 nt
Filed under: Dermacentor andersoni
Lineage: Eukaryota; Metazoa; Arthropoda; Arachnida; Ixodida; Ixodidae
Description: uncharacterized LOC126539569
Source: RNAcentral